Pocillopora damicornis (cauliflower coral) is the source of this 868-nucleotide long non-coding RNA. Lineage: Eukaryota; Metazoa; Cnidaria; Anthozoa; Scleractinia; Pocilloporidae. The record is from RefSeq and is a predicted model, not a curated record.
UUUGUUUUGUUUUCCUAGACCUUGAUGACGAUGAGGUUUCAACAAGUUGACGUUAGUAUGACAAGUAACCAUUUGGAAUUAUCUGAUAAAUUUAUGCAAGUCGUGUCAGGUGCAAAUAUAAUUUGCAUAAUCGAGCUCGCCGAAUAACGAAUUUUCGCGUGUUAAAGUGGAAUUAUUACGAUACUACAUUCUAACGUGUUUCUGCUUCAAUUUAUAGUCGCUCCUCCUUCUAAGUAAAUAUUUAUCAAGCGGAUAAGCGUCUUACAAUUGAACAAAUUACGCCUCACAAAGAAAUAAGUCAGAUUAAAAUCACCACGGGAUGUCUGAAGAAGCAUGUGCUAACGAACAAAAUGGCUCGACGGCCGGUCCAAGCAGUUCACAGAAAUUAAAUCUACAUGGCUUUCCAAAAGUCAGAGUUAUGUCCAAAGAAUAAAGGAGGAAGCGAAUAAAAGGAGGACGUCUCAUGGCAAGUUAGGAACUCCUUGACCGUUAAGACCCGUCAUAACUACCAGUAUACGCAGACCGUCACCACUACAAGUAUAAGGGGAACGCUUAUUACCUAGCGCUCACGAUGCUAAAAGUUCAUUUGUAAUCUAUGGCUCUCAACGUUGAAAGUUGUCGUUGUUCCUGUAUUUAUACAAAAACAGAGGCGUUUGACUAGCAUCUUAGCGUUUCCCGGAGAAGGCAAAGUCCGUCAUUAUCAGGGGAGACGCCCUUUCACCUUUAGGAGAAUCUUGUGGAAAGUUCAUUUCAGGCGUCUAAGCGUGUCUUGCAGUUCCUUUGUGACGUGGGGCUCUUACGGAUUUAAUUGUUGACAGACGCUUUUAACCGCUCCUCUAACUAGCACUAUUUCAAAAAAGUGUCUACU